RNAcentral lists this transfer RNA (76 nucleotides) under Mus musculus (house mouse). It matches the Rfam family "tRNA". Rfam says of the family: Transfer RNA (tRNA) molecules are approximately 80 nucleotides in length. Their secondary structure includes four short double-helical elements and three loops (D, anti-codon, and T loops). Further hydrogen bonds mediate the characteristic L-shaped molecular structure. tRNAs have two regions of fundamental functional importance: the anti-codon, which is responsible for specific mRNA codon recognition, and the 3' end, to which the tRNAs corresponding amino acid is attached (by aminoacyl-tRNA synthetases). tRNAs cope with the degeneracy of the genetic code in two manners: having more than one tRNA (with a specific anti-codon) for a particular amino acid; and 'wobble' base-pairing, i.e. permitting non-standard base-pairing at the 3rd anti-codon position. Lineage: Eukaryota; Metazoa; Chordata; Mammalia; Rodentia; Muridae. The record is from Rfam by way of RNAcentral. RNAcentral also lists the same sequence under 1 other name.
GAGGAUAUAGCUCAGUUGGUAGAGUAUUUGCCUGGCAUGUUCAAGGAGACCCUGGGGUCGAUCCCCAGUAACCCCG